GCGGGUAUGGCGGAAUUGGUAGACGCGCUAGACUUAGGAUCUAGUGCCGCAAGGCGUGGGGGUUCGACUCCCUUUACCCGCA
RNAcentral lists this transfer RNA (82 nucleotides) under bacterium. RNAcentral's name for it is "tRNA-Leu". It matches the Rfam family "tRNA". Rfam says of the family: Transfer RNA (tRNA) molecules are approximately 80 nucleotides in length. Their secondary structure includes four short double-helical elements and three loops (D, anti-codon, and T loops). The record is from RNAcentral. RNAcentral also lists the same sequence under 2 other names.